GGCACAUAGCUCAGUUGGUUAGAGCACCACCUUGACAUGGUGGGGGUCGUUGGUUCGAGUCCAAUUGUGCCUACCA
Molecule: transfer RNA, 76 nt
Filed under: Pseudomonas fulva
Lineage: Bacteria; Pseudomonadati; Pseudomonadota; Gammaproteobacteria; Pseudomonadales; Pseudomonadaceae
Description: tRNA-Val
Rfam family: tRNA
About the family: Transfer RNA (tRNA) molecules are approximately 80 nucleotides in length. Their secondary structure includes four short double-helical elements and three loops (D, anti-codon, and T loops).
Source: RNAcentral